UAAGACGAACCGUGCGAACGUUGUUCGGAAUCACUGGGCUUAAAGGGCGCGUAGGCGGUCGAUCAAGUCCGGGGUGAAAUCCUGCAGCUUAACUGUAGAAGUGCCUUGGAUACUGGUUGACUCGAGGGAGGUAGGGGUCUGUGGAACUUCUGGUGGAGCGGUGAAAUGCGUUGAUAUCAGAAGGAACGCCGGUGGCGAAAGCGACGGACUGGACCUCUUCUGACGCUGAGGCGCGAAAGCUAGGGGAGCAAACGGGAUUAGAUACCCCGGUAGUCCUAGCCCUAAACGAUGGGUACUAGAUUGUAGACUUAUCAUGGGUUUACAGUCGAAGCAAAAGUUUUAAGUACCCCGCCUGGGGAGUAUGGUCGCAAGGCUG
Molecule: ribosomal RNA, 376 nt
Filed under: uncultured bacterium
Lineage: Bacteria
Description: bacterial SSU rRNA
Rfam family: Bacterial small subunit ribosomal RNA
Source: RNAcentral